This 192-nucleotide non-coding RNA is filed under the name Bdellovibrionales bacterium. Its description in RNAcentral is "6S RNA". It matches the Rfam family "6S / SsrS RNA". From Rfam's summary of the family: E. coli 6S RNA was the first non coding RNA to be sequenced, but its function was unknown until recently. It consists of 184 nucleotides that fold into an extended hairpin structure with a large single-stranded internal bulge. The record is from RNAcentral. Lineage: Bacteria; Pseudomonadati; Bdellovibrionota; Bdellovibrionia; Bdellovibrionales.
UUGGGUCCGGGGUGUAAGUCAUAAAGUUUCGCCCCUACGAUUUUUUAUUCGGGAGCGGUCCCUGGUCACGGUGUGCAAGCUUGCCUGUCUUAGUAUUAAGUCAGAAUGUGAGAAGCCUAAAGUGAUUACUAAUUGCGCCCACCUAGUUAUCUAGGGGGACGAAACCGUUUUAAGCCUUCUCCCGGACCUCUU